AGAGACCCUGUAGGACAGAAUAGCACUGCCCCAUAGAGUUUCCAAGGUGUAGGUGGUGGAUUCAAACUGCUCUUCUUUUGCUUGGCUACCGUAUCACUUAACCACUGUGCCACGAGGGCUCCAGAACAUUAGCUACUUAACUAAUAAAAAUGGUCUACCUUGAGCAUAUGCUCUUUUAAGAACUGUCUAUAUGGCAUCAGAUUGACAACAGCUACUGAAAAGAUUAGAUAGGAACCUUAAGGAGCAGUGGGUUUAUGCUAAUGACAGAGGAACUACUCAGAAAAGGAGGGUAAGAAUGGUUGCACAACUUGAAUGUAACCAGUGUCGUUAAAUUGUACAGGUAGAAACUGUUGAGUUGGUGUAUGUUUUGCUGCAUAUAUUCUCAACCACAAAAAAUACAUUUACAGGUAAUAAUUAACAAAAAAUGUCAAGGAGAGCUAAAUAUUUUGAAAAUAAGACAGAGUUGCAUGUGAGGGAAUGAGUGGGGUGAGCUGUUUUAGAUUAAUAGUUAGUAAAGGCUUAUGGGAUCAGGAUAUUUGAGGAGAUAACUGACCUAUAUCAAAGGAGAGAAUAGCUGUAUGAAGUUCUGGAGGGAGGAUAUUGCCAAUAAAGGAAAGAGUUGUUUCUGAGGCCCUUAAAUAACCAAGUGUUCUGGCAUGUUUUGAGGAAGCUCAGGAAAUAAGUCAUGGCUAGUGUGGAGUGAACCGAGGGAAGACUGUUAGGAAAUGAGGUUAGUAUGGUGGGCAAGCCCCGCAUCAUGAAAGACCAUGGGAAGGAUUUGGGAAUUUUUCCUAAUUGCCAUGAGAAGCCACUGACGUGAUGCUGUUAUGUAGACUGUAAGAGGGAAGAUCGGUGGCAUGGAGUCCAGUUUUAACCAAGAGAUGAUGGUGGCUGUAAGGUGGAGGUAGUGAGAAGUGGAUAGAGUCAGGAUUUAUUUUAAGGUAGCGCCAAGAGUCCAGAAUAUGUGUCAAUGGAUUGGAUACAAGAUUUGAAUAAAGGAGAGAAAUCAAGGAUGAUUUCUAGGUUUUUGUCCUGAACAACCCAGACGAUAGUGAGAACAUUUGCUGAGAUAAGGAAGACUGGGAGGUAGAUAAGACACUUGGACGAAGAAUUUUAUUUGAACCACAUUAAGUUUGAGAUGCCUAGUAGACAUUCAAGGGGAGAUGUGAGGUCAGCCAUUUGUGAAGGAACAACAGGGCAGAGUAUGUAAAAUGAGGGUAUCCUAGGGCUCAGGUGGAAUUGACUGCCAUGAAUUGGCUCAGAUAACCUAGAUAGUGAGAAGUAAUGAAUGAUGUUACUUAAACAGGGCAUGGAAAUCAAUGAAAAAGGUGUGGGAGUGGCAGGGAGGCUAAGGUAGAGAAGUUUCUCUCUCCCUAAACCUGAUUAGCUGGAUUUGAAGACAUCAUAAGUUCCUGUACGAGAAAUAUCCAGCAAAUUACCAGUUGAUUUAAUAAAUUGAUAACAAAGUCUACCUUUCAGCCAAAGAUUGAAAAACAAACAAACCAAUUGCCAUCCAGUGAAUUCUGACUCUUAGCAACCCUCUAGGACGGAGUAGAACUACCCCAUACGGUUUCUAAGGAGCAGCUGUUGGAUUCAAACAGCAGACCUUUUGGUUAGCAGCUGAGCUCUUAACCACUGCACCACCAGGCUCAAACCAAGAAUAACACACAUGAGGAACUUACUCCUUAGUUCAAUCAAGUAUGUAGAAAUUCAAAUUUGUGAUUUUGGAGAUUCCCCCUCUUUUUUUUCAAAGUGGGGGGCAUUGAGAUGGAGGAUUUUCCCAUGCCCACCAUCCUAAGGGAUUUAAUUAACCCAUAGUUGAGACAUUGUACACAUCUCAAGAAAUUAUUACCUUUGAGAAACUUGAGGGUGAGUAGGCAUAUCACCUGGCUCCUCUUAAACUCCUUUUAAAAACCUGACUUGAAGACUCACCUGCCUUUUUGAAUAAGUGCCAGCUUGAAUAGGCAGGGUUCAGGGAAUUGCCAACCAAAGGUAUGGUUUCUCCAGAGGCCUCCAAGGGGUGUAAAAGAAGAGUGGAGCCAGACCCCGUGCUUGGGACACACCCUUGGUAGGAAAUAUUUGAGUGUGUGUGUGGUGAGGGGAGCACUCGGUGUGGGAGAGUGGGGUGGGUGGGUAAUAGGGAAAUGCCUGUUUUUUUUGUUUUUUUUCUGGUUUUAAGAAACAGUUUUUUACUUUUUUUUUUUUUAAUUACAACGAACAGUUCAGUGGAGACAUGUUCCUUAUCUGCACGGGCUAGUGGAAUUGCUGAUAGCUGAGAAUGUAGCCUGCUCCCCAAGUGCGAGUUGGCAUUUUGGAGAGAAAUCUUGAUGUUUGGAGCACUGACUGGCCCUGCCUUUUCUAAAUAAUUAAGGGUGGUGGGGUGGUGGUAAGAGAAAGAGGAUGGUCUAUGAACACUGACCCUGGAAAAUUAACUCCCAAGUGUGUGGGUUGUGGAUAACAGGAAAAGAACAUCACCCGCAAAUGACAGCAGCGCCUUUAUUUAUUUAUUUAUGUUUCUUUUUAGUUCUGAGUUGUUUUUAAGCCACAAAUUAAUGGGGCCACCAUGAGUUUUCAGAGAAUGAGUUUUACAAAAAUCUAAGUGUUUUAAAUAUUGCAAGGAUUUACUUAUAUAUGCUGUAUAUGAGAAAAGUCCUUACAGUUACAGGGAGGAGAAAGAAAGUAUAUUCAGGAAUUAAAUUUUCACAGUUCUCUGAAUUCUUAUAUUUCUCUUGUUGUCCAUUUUUCUUUUUUUGUCCUUCAUCCACCUCUUCCACCUUUACCCACUGUCUUCAUCAUCUAGUGCUGCCAUAACAGAAAUACCAUGAGUGGAUGGCUUUAACCAAGAGAAAUUUAAUACCUCACAUUAAAGUAGGCGAAUAGUCCAAGGCAUCAGCUCUAAGGGAAAGUUUUCUCUCUCUUUCGGCUCUGGAAGAAGGUCCUUGUCCUUAGCCUUCCCAUGGUCAAGGAGCUUCUCAGGUGCAGGGACCCUGGGUCCAGAGGACAUGCUCUGCUCCUGGUGCUGCUUUCUUGAUAGUCUGAGGACCCCAACUCUCCGCUUGCUUCCCUUUCCUUUUACCUCUUGCGAGAUAAAAGGUGGUGCAGGCCACACCUCAGGGAAAGGUGACCUGAGUGAGGGUGGUGUUACAAUCCCACCCUAAUCCUCUUACAGUAAAAUUACAAUCACAAAAUGAAGGACAACUAUGCAAUAGUGGGAAUCAUGGCCUAACCAAGUUGAGACACACAUUUUUUAGGGUCAUAAUUUAAUCCAAACCAAAUCAAACUUGUCACCAUCAAGUUGAUUCCAACCCAUACAGACCCUAGUUGAUAUUAACUCAUAGAGACCCUAUAGCAUAGAGUAGAACUACCUCAUAGAGUUUCCAAAGACUAGUUGGUGGAUUCGAACUGCUGACCUUUUGGUUAGCAGCUGAGCUCUUAACCACUAUGCCACCAGGCCUCCUCUUGAUACACAGUCCACCCUAAUACACCACUGUGUUAGAAAAAGGUUUUGCUAUUCUGAAAUAAGAACUUUUUACUAUACUUUUGUGUUCGUGGUUGCUUUUGAUAUGUCUUUAAGCACUGAACAGUUAACUCAUACCCAUUAAAAACCCAUUGCCACUGAGUCUAUUCCAACUCAUAGCGGCCCAAUAGGGCAGAGCGGAACUGUGCCAUAGACUUUCCAAGGAGCGCCUGGUGGAUUUGAACUGAUGACCUUUUGGUUAGCAGCUGUAGCUCUUAAACAGUACACCACCAGUGUGGGAGGGGUUUAAUUGAUAACAUGAUGUCUGGGCUCCAAGGGAGAUGGAAUGGAUGUGCAGGAGAAGGGCAUGCAGAGUCAGCCUGUAUAGUCCCCUGAACUCUGUUCAAGAUCAUAACACACCUCAGUAAUCACUUGAAUCUAAACAUACAACUUUAACAGUUGAUGUAAAUGACUUUACACAUGAAUUUUGGAACGCAACUAUUUCUCGAUGGAAGUUUCUUCAACUAAGCUGUUUGUAUUCCCUUAAUAAUUAUGAAAGCUAACAUUUAUUGUGUUCAUUCUGUGUGUAAGGCCUUUUUCUAAGUGCCUUGUGUGUUUUAUUUAACCUGCGUAACAACCUUUUGAAUAAGACCCAUUUUAGAAAUGGGAAACUGAGGCAGUGAGAGGUAAAGUAACGUGCCCAGAUCAACCAGCUGAUAGAUUGAGUUAGGAUUUAAACCCAGGCAGUUUGUUUCAGAAUUUGCUUAUGUAAUCACUGUACAUGACAGCAGUGAGCCCUAGUGGCUGUGUGGCUAAAGAACUUGGCUGCUAACUGAAAGGUCAGUGGUUCGAACCCACCAGCCUCUCUGCAGGAGACAGAUGUGGCAGCUUGCUUCAGUGAAGACUUACAGCCUUGGAAACCCUAUGUGGCAGUUUUACUCUGUCCUUUGGGGUCACUAUGAGUUAGAAUCGACUUGAUGACAGUGGGUUUUGGCACAUAAUACUAAUGUGCAGUGUAUUCUGUAUGCCGUGUAUAUGUUCAGAAGCUAAUUUUCCCAACAUUUAUGCCAUAUAUAGAUUACCAAUCCAGUUGCCGUUGAGGAGAUUUUCACUCAUGACGACCCCGUGAGUUUUCAGAGUAGGACUGCCCUCCAUACGGUUUUCAAUAGCUGUGACCAUUUGGAGGUAGAUUGCCAGGCCUUUCUUCCAAGGCAACUGAGUGGAUUUAAACUGCCAACCUUUCAGUUAGUAGCUGAGCACUUAACUCUUUGUGCCACCUAAUACAUAUAUAUACUAGGAGGUUUUCCUCCUUAUUUGUACUUUAAUGUUUUGUAGCCUCUUAUGAAUACUUGUUCCUGGCAGUGAACUAGAUGCUAAAGAACAGAAUAGGCACAUGUAACCCUCUCUCACCUUCUCCCUCCCCUCUUGCACAGAGAUGAAAUGAAAAGGAAUUAAUGAGGACAGAUUAUUGGAUUAGGGCCCACACUCAGGGCUCUAACAGCAUGGGGAGUUUCUCCUGUCACUUCAGUUCUUGUUCAGGAAUUGGCACCUGCUUUUUGUGAAUCACAAAGACCAGUGCUUUAUAUCAAGCCAUUUAGAUUUGGGGUAUGGAGCAGUGACUUAAAAAAAUUAAAUUUUAUUUUCAGAGAUUUUUUCUAUUAAUUGUUUACAUUUAUUUUAAUUGUAUAUUCUGAAACCGCUACAAAAAGGCAUGAAAUAAUUGUUUAAAUUUUAAUUCGUAUGGGUCAAAAUGUAUGUUAAACUACCUAUCGUCGCCUUCACAGUCGUUGUUAUGUUUGAGCCGAUUGUUGUGGCCACUUGUUACCAAGUAUGACUUUCUUCUCCAGGGACCGAUCUCUCCUGACAACAUGUCCAAAAUAUGUGAGAUGAAGCCUCGCCAUUCUUGCUUCUAAGGAAUAUUCUGGCUGUACUUCUUUCAAGACAGAUUUGUUCAUUCUUUUGGCAGUCCGUGGUAUAUUCAAUAUUCUUUGCAAAUACCGUAAUUCAGUGCCUUCAAUUUUUCUUUAGUCUUCCUUAUUCAUUGCCCACCUUUCGUGUGCGUAUGAGGUGACCGAAAACACCAUGGCUUGAGUCAGGGGCACAUUAGUUUUCAAGGUGACAUCUGUGCGUUUGAACACUUUAAAGAGGUCUCUGGCAGCAGAUUUGCCCAAUGCAACGUGUCGUUUGAUUUCUUGACUGCUGCUUCCAUGGGUGUUUAUUGUGGAUCCAAGUAAAAUGAAGCCCUUAGUGAUGUCAACAUUUUCUCCGUUGUCCUGAUGUUGCUUAUUGGUCCUGUUGUUAGGCUGUUGGUCUGUAGUCUUUGAUUUUCUUCAGUAAAUGCUUUAAGGCCUCUUCACUUUCAACAAGCGAGAUUGUAUCAUCUGCAUAUCUCAGGUUAUUAAUGAGUCUUCCUCCAAUCCUGACGCCUUAUUCUUCUUCAGACAGUCCAGCUUCUCGGAUUAUUUGCUCAGCAUACAGGUCGAAUAGGUAUGGUGAAAGGAUACAAUGGAGAUGCACACCUUUCUUGACUUUAAACCAUGCAGUAUUCCUUGUUCUGUUUAGAUGACUGCCUCUUUUUCUGUGUACACGUUUCUCCUGAGAACAAUUAAGUGUCCUGGAAAUCUCAUUCUUCCCCAUGUUAUCCAUAAUUUGUUAUGAGCUGGAGUAGGUCUCAGAAAUAAUGUGCCAUUUCUUCCAGUUGGUCCUGCACGGCUGCCUGCUUCCCUAGGUGGUAGCAAGUAAGGCCUGUCUCAGAAACACUCCCCUCCUCACUAAGCAUGAUUCUUCACACUGCUCCAUCUUCUUUCCCGUGUGUGUUUCCUGCCCUCCUCAGUGGCUGGGGAAAAUGAUAGUAGUCCACUAUGAGAUUUAUUCUUUUAUUAUACUUUAUUUUAUCAUUUGUUUUUAUAACAUAGUUCCGUUAAAAUCAAGGGUAAUAAAAAUGUUUGUGUGAUGGAAGUGGAUAAUCCCACCCAUUGUGUCCAUCUAAAGUUUCAUGAGAAAACUGUGCCCACAACAGAGGGCUCCCACUCCUCUGGCUCACUGUAUUUUCUCCUUGUUUAUUUGCUCUUCCCUCUUUCCUGAUGCAUGCAUGGGACCACUGAGCUUCAGGACUCCACAAUUCUGCUUUUCAUACCAGUGUUACUGUAAUCUUGGGUUCAUGGGCUGCCUUGCCACAGAUUUACUCAUUCUGUUUCUGUUGAUUAUUUCAUUACUUAAAAAUCUCUCAUGAAUUUUUCCAGAAGUACAUUCUAUUCCUCAAAAACUUGGAAGCAAUGGGAAAGUAUGCAAUAAAUAACAAGAAAACAUACGUAAUGCAUAGAAUAAAUUACUAACGUUCCGAUAUGUCUGUUAUCUUACUUACAUUGGCAUGUAUGUGUGUUAGAGUCUCUGGUUGGUGCAAAUGGUUAAUAUCUUGAGCUGCUGACAGAAAGUUGGAGUUCAGGUCCACCCAGAAUUGCUAUGAAAGAGAGGUCUGGCAGUCUACUUCCGAAAACUCAGCCAUUGAAACCCCUAUGGAGUACAGUUCUACUCUGGCACGCUGGUGUCAUCAUGAAUCAGAACUGACUCAAUGGCAACUGGUUUUAUGUGUGUAUUAGCACACACAUUUAUGUAUAUUAACACGGAUAUUAUAUCCUGAUAUUUUCAUUCAUCAUUAGUCUUUUCUCAUGAUAAUUUUUUUUGUUUUUUUUAAUGAGAGCAUUAAAUUACUUUAUAAUAUUCUGUGUGCAUGUAGUAUAUUUUUUUUAACAAUUUGAACUAUAGUUGCAAUAAUAAAUGUGCAUGUUUCUAGUAAUCUUCAACGUAUACUUACAUCUUUUUAACAUACAUCUCUGCCAUUAAAUCUCUUUGUUUAAUUAUUGUUUAACACUCUUUACGCCUAAGAGAUGGUCUCAGAAGCAGCCCUGAUCAGUUUUUCUCCCUCUUACUCAUGAAGCUCCUUAAUGUAUCCCAAGGUAUCAACUACGAAGGAUUUUACGUACUUAUCGUUUAUUUUUCAUUCAGUCAGUAUAUUCCAUGGGCCAGAAGUAGUCUAUGUUAUGCAGAUACAGUGGUGAAAGGUACACACUGCCCCUGUCCUCAUGAAGGGGACAACCCAGUGCAGGUGGGAGGGGCACUGGGGAAAUGCAGCUGAGAGCAAGGACAGACAACCCUCCAGGAACCACACUGGACUUCAGAGAGGCUUGUUGGCUGCUGUUCACCUGGCAGGCUUCUAGAUACCCGAGUACCCUUGGGCUUGGUGCCUGUUCCUCUCUCUAUUGACACCCUCUCUCUAGGAUGCCUCAGUGAGUUUACUGCUGUCUAUUUGUAGCUAAGGACGUGAGGUUUAUACCUCCAUCCAUUCAAACUCCUCCUGGGUCCAGACUCAUAUAUUCAAAUGUGAGCCUAGCUCUCUGUAUUGACCUCUUUAGGCAUUAUAAUGAUACAUUCCUCAUAUGGCCAUCAUGAAAAGCAAACAUGAAAGAAAAAGCACAGGAGUGCCUGGCACCAGUGUAGGUACUCAAUGAACAUUAGCUGUUGGUAUUAUCCUUGACAUCCCCAUGUGGGGUGAAGUUUUAUUACCUGACAUCUCCAUGUGAAUAUCUAACACCUGUACCAUGUUAUCUAGGCUAUGAAACAAUUCUUGGUUCCAACCACCAUUCUUUUCUUAUCCAUGAAUUUCUCAAGGCUUUGGUGAUGGGAUUGUGUGUUUUUCCACACAAUGGACUUGAUUAGGAAUGGUUGGCCAGGUCCUACACAAUAAAUUGCUCUAGCAUUCCUUUGGGUGACCAUUGAGACAAGUUUCAGCCAACGAAUGUAGCAAAGAAUUGGAACCACUCUCAGCUGUUCAUGCGAGUACUCUCAAUCCAGAAUAUCUGGUAAGUCGACUGUUAGGGAUUGAAUUGUGUCCCUCCAAAAUGUCUGUGGAAAUCCUAACCCCUGUACCUGUAAAUCUGACCUUGUUAGGAAAGAGGGGGCCUGCUUUUAUUAUGUGAAUGAGGUCAUACCAAUGUAGGGUGGGUCCUAAGCCUAACUCUUCUUAGUUAUAAAAGGAGCAGAAUACACACAGACUCAAACAGGUGAAAAGGAAGACAGACAAAGAAGACAGAUGCUUCUAGAAGGCCAGGAACACAAAUGAUUGCUGGCAUCUACUAGAAGCUGAGGUAGACAAGGAAGGACCUCCCACUACAGCCAUGCCCUGAAUUCGAACGACCACCUGCUAAACUGUGAGAAAAUAAAUUUCUGUUCUUUAAAGCCAUCCAGUUGUGUUAUUUUUUGUUAUGGAGGGACUAGGUAACUAACACACAUAAGACCCGUUCUUAUAAGUUCAGCCCAGUGCAGAAUAAUUUUCUUCCCUCCUUGGUCUAGACCACCCGAACCUGCUCUUUCCCUAUCAGUGUCCUUUGCUUUCACCUAAGAGCUAUGACAGAGUCAGCUUGAUGCUGAUGCAUUGAAAUUUCAAUUUAUUUUUUAUUUAUGAUUACUAUUAAUUCCGGUAUUUUCUACAGUUUUCAAUGGAGACAGUCCUAUAAUCUAUGAAUAGCAGUUAUACUUUUUCUCUUUUUGUACUAGCUUACACUUCCGGUGUUCAAUGUUUAAUAAAAGUAAUGAUAGAAGCACCCUUAUUUUAUUGUUUAUUAAUUUUAAAGAGAAUGUCCCACACGUCACCAUGAACUAUCAUGCUAGUUGUAGUUUUCCACGUUCGGGAACUCCUUUUCUGUUCCAUAUUUGCUCCUAGUCCUUAUCUCUCCAUGUGAUUGGAUUUUAUCAACCUGCUUUGCCCCCAUCUCUUGAGGUGAGCAUAUGUCUUCUCUUCUUUCACCUAUGCAUGUGGUGAAUGAAAUUACUAAAUCUUUAACGUUCACUCAAAUUUGUAUGCCUACAUGAUCAUGGCAUGUUACGUGGUUUAUACUUUGCUGGAUUUCCUUUGCUGGCAUCUUACGUAGAGUUUUGCAUCUCAGUUACUGAGUGUGCUUGUCCUCUAACUCUUCUUCUACCAUCCUUCUCUAAUUUGUUAUCAUUUUUAAACUAGCCUUAAGGAUCAAGUUAGGGGAGUAUCUCAUGGUUUUCUAAUCUCUGUUGACUAUGUACAAGAUUAAAAUGACUGUUUCUUGCAUGUUUGCUGGAACCUGACUGGAAACGAUCUAGGUCUGCCGUUUUCUUUUUAGGGAGAUCUUGAACUACUGACCCAUUUUAUUUAGUGGUUAAAGGCAUCUUCUGGUGCUAAUUUACUUAGAAAAAAUUCUGAUGCAUGUUCUAGGUUGCUCGAAUCUCAUCUUCAAAUAUUGAUUAUCAGGGCUUGUAGCCUCAUGCAAGGCAAUUCAUCAAUCCCAGAUUUCCCCAAAGUCAGGCUCUGCAACUCUUCCCGGUACCAAAUUCCCUCAUUUAAGACUUAUUUGCAAAGAGACAACAGUAUGCUAUCUACGCGGUUGUUUAUCCGCAACUUUCUUGAGUCCAUAAUGUGAGGAUACAGUCUUCUAAUACUUUUUUUGUAAUUGUUCUCUUUCUUAUUUUUUUUUUUUUUGCUUUUUUCACUGCCAAUAACCUCCCCCCCCCCGUCUAGUAGUUUUAAAGUUGUGCGUUUCAGGUUCAAGUCUGUAAUCCAACUGAGCUUCUGUGUGUGCUGCAUGUGUACAUCAAAAGAACACGCUUCUAGAAGCAGAAAGCAGGCAGUGCGACUGUUGGGUGGUUGGCGGGGGAGGGGGAGGGGAGCUGCUGCUCAGAGAGGGCUCCCAAGGGAGGCACGAGAUGCCGGGCUGCCCACUGCAAGCCCACAGGCUCCAAGGAGGAGGAACCUGAGUGCGCCAUGAGCCUUUUGAGACAGGCCCAAGCCCACCCAGCCGGGUGCUAACCUCGCAUCCGCCAGGCUUGCAGGUUCCACCAGGACUAGGGAAGCCUAAGGCCAAGGAGGGCAAGGUCUAGGGUCUGGACCUGAGAACUGGUUCUGCCACUUGUGAUCGCAGCGCUUAUGCUGGAAAGGAGGGCAGAAAGCAUAUCGCAACGUGUGUCCGGACGAUGACCCAGAACGGGGGAGUUGUGGUCACCCACGGACUCUGGGUCUGCAUAUGGAGGCCCCCAGGGUGCAAUUCCAGGAGCAGAAGGCAAAGCCACAGAGGCCAAAGUGCACCUCGCCGAUGCUUCCCAGGGGCAUUGCCCCAAAUAUGGGGAGCAGUCCCUCCUCUGGGCUAGGGACUUUGUUUCCUCCAUUGUCAUCACUGACUGUGAGCAGACUCUAGUCUAUGCAGACUAAUGAGGAGUUAUCAAAAUGAGCUCCAAACUCCAGAUUUGAGUUAAGGAUCAUAAAUUAACACAGAGAAAUACGACUUUAGCAAUAUGUGACUGUUUGAAGCCCAAGUUGCCUUAAAACACGGAAUUUCAGUCUUUCAGCUCCUCUGCUAAUCUAGUGACUAAGAACAGGAUCUCACUGGAGCUCAAAGAUGUGGGGCACUGGGAAUACUCUGGGUCUGUCUGCUCACGGCUGAUUGCCUGAUCCCAGUUUUAUUAUACAGCUUAAAUACAGACCAGAAGAGGAGUUUGGGGCUUGACACCUGACGUCUUAACACCAGUUCCUGUUUCUUGAGGAAGGAAGAGGUAAAAUAAAUCAGCGUUUACUGUGUCCUUCUCCAUCCCCGGAAGUCUUCAUGAAGACCCUCUCAGCUUCUACUUGAACGUGAAUAUGAGCAACUGAUCAUCUGUUCUGCGGUCAGCCCCUGGCCUGAUUCUGACUCAUGAUAUUGACCUUCUCCAUCAUCACCUUCCACAAAUUUGAUUCCUAUCUAUUCUGCCUGGAAUAGUUCAUGAGUAUAGUCACCAUUUAUGUUCCUGACGAAAGACAUUAUGCUCAUUCUCAGGGCCCUGAGACCUCAUCUGCAGCAGGUGAAGGCAUUCGUGGAGAGAGGCGGUUUCCGUGCGUGCAGGCAAAGUGUGUGCUGAGAUGAGUCGCUGGAGACUGGGGUGGACUCCUCAGACCCAGGAUAGGCCUCUGGCAGGUAUAUGUCAAUGUUUUCUGCCCAUGGCACUCACCCGGAUAUUUGCAUACAAUGUUAUCAGUGGAAUUAGUAGUCUCCAGAGAGGCUGCCACAUGUCAGCAAGCUUCACCUGGCCAGGUCCGCCCAGGAUGUAGCUCCCCAAUCAAUCACUACUCUCUAGACCUUCCAGAUAGACUAGCAGAUCUUCUCUGCCCAUGGGCAACCAGUAGAGCCAGAGGCCUUCUCUCUUUGCUCUUUCGUCUCUAGGCAUUCUAUCAGGCAUUUCAAGCUGUGAAGUGCCUGGGAGGAGAAGGAAGAGAUUUCAGAGAAUGAACACAUACAGAGAGACAGGCAAGAGACGGUGAGUGGGGAUGUCUUGCCUACUGAUAUCCUCAGGAAAGUGGGAAAAUUGGACCCUGGCCUGCUAUGACAAUGCCCUGAAGCAGUCCGCACCAGGGGCUCCCUUGUGCCUGCAUAGCCUUUCCCAGGGUGUGCUCAAAUCCUGUGGCCACUAGGUGUCCUGGGUCACAAUGGAGGGCUCUGUGUCAUCUGCCUGUUGGGCUGGAUCUCUGCCAUUGGCUGAGUCUUGUCACCAGGCCCAUCAUAAGCUCUGCCCACUCUUCCUGUGGGGGGACUGUCUCCAUGGUGAUGGCAAAGAAGCCUGAGUUCCGCCCACCUGGCCUUGACUUCACCUACCUGGCCUGCUGACCCUCACUCAGACCUCUGUGUUGAUCAAAAUGAGUGUCCGCCAGUGGCCAGGUGUCAGCAUCUGGGAUAAAGGAUUGGGGACCUUGCCUGGGGCAGAAGGCAGCCUAGGUCUGUGGGUACCUGGAAGUCUUGUGACUUCUGCCGCUGCUGCCAGUGACAGAUGGUGACUCCCACACUCACAUAUCCCCUGGUGGCAGAAGGAUAGUGAUGGGCGGAGAAACAUGGCUCCGGAGCACACUUUAAAUGCGGCACCAGCCAAAGGCCAGGGCAAGGAGUGGACGUCGUGGAGCUUAAUUGCAAGCCAGUGAAGGGCCCAAGGAUUUCUCCUAUAUGUGGCAAACAGGUCAUCCGUGUCCCCACGUCCAUAAACCACUGGACUGCAGUGCCAGACUGCCAGGAUUUCGGCCUUGCCAUUGGAGCCCGUCCACAUACGCUGCGUUGCACCGGAGGCGGGGACAUGUAGACAGCAAAAAUUUGGAAAAUGGCAUCAUCUCUUCAAUUUCCCUAGCAUUGGCCUUUUUCAGUGGCAUGCUUUGUUUCCUAGUAGGAUAAGGCACUGACGGAGAAAGGCAGGAGUAUGUGUGUAGGAAAGGUGUGUGCCGAAAGGGUGACGACGUUGAGACCACGUUGGGAUCUUUAGUCCCAGGAAAGGCCCCUGGCAGGUGUGGGUCAAUGUUCUCUGCUCAUCCGAGUUGGCGGGGGAGGUUUUCACCAAACAAAGCAGCAGUGGAAUUAUUCGUAGCCUGAGAGGUUGCAUCUGCCCACAAGCUCCACCUGGCCAGGGUCCGCCCCUACUGUAUUGCCCAUGUCAAUCAACAGAAGCUAAGACCUUCCAGAGAGACUACCUGCUAUUGUCUACCCACCGGGAAGCGGUCCAGCCAGAAGCCUCCCCCGUUUCAUCUCCAGGCUCUCUGUCAGGCCCCUCAUACUUGUGAUGUGUCUCAGGGGUAGAAGGAAGAGAUUUCUCUGAAUGAACACAUCCAGAGAGGAGCCAUAGAUGCUGAGGAAGGGCGCCUUGUCUACUGAUAUCCUAGCGUAAGUGUAAAAGAGGUACCUGCCUGCUGUCCCAGUGUGUCGAACGUGUCCACAUCAGGGGUUGGCUACUGUAAAAUUAUUCCCUGGUGCCCUCGAUUUUGUGGCCAAAGACACGAGGGGCCGUUGUGUGUCCAUGGGUACAAUGGAGGGCUCUGCGGAACGGGCUGGUUAGGCUGGACUUCUCCUAUUGGCUCAGUGUUUGUGACUCGUCCCCGUCAGAAGUUCCGCCCAGCCUUCUGGUGGCUGUCUCCAUGAGGAUUGGGAAAGAAGCCCUAGGCCCCGCACUCGGCCUUCACCUGGCCUACCUGGCCUCUUUACCCUCAUCUAGACCGCUCUGUGCAUGAAAGAAAGGAUGUCGGCCACUGACCAAGCAUCCUCAUUUCCUUGGAAGUAUUAGGCUCCUUGCGUGGGCAGAAGACAGCCAAGGUCAGCCUGAGCCUAGACACCUAGUGACCUGUGACACUGCAGCCAGCGAUAGAUGUUGAUGUCCACGCUCAGGUAUCCGCAGUUGACGGAUUCAGAGUGGUCAGAGGAGAAGUGUAACUAGAGAUCACACACUCAUGAGGGCACGGGCCAAAGGUCAGGGAAAAUAGCUGAGGUCGUGGAGCUCUAGCGGAGCCAGUCAAGGGCCCAGGCCUCCCUCCUGUACGUGGCAAAGAGGUGUCACCUUCCGCAGAGUAUGCUGCCACCCGCAGACUCUGGACUGCUGGGGCCCUGGAUGCCCGGAUUUCGGCCUUGUGUUUGGAGAAGUGACGUGCAUGCAGUGUGCCACCGGGGGCUGUGGCCCAGCAGAAGCAAAAUCUUGAAAAUGGGAGCUUCAGUUGACUUUGCGUGUUCUCUCCCUUGGCUGAGUGCCAUCCUGUGUUUCCUAGCAGGAGAAGGCAUUCGUGGAGAAAGGCAGAUUCCAUGUGUGCAGGCAAAGUGUGUGCUGACAUGAUGAGACCCUGGAGACCAGGGUGGACUCUUCAGACCCAGGACAGGCCUCUGGCAGGUAUGUGUCAAUGUUUUCUGCCCGUGGCACUCAACCGGGUAUUUGCAUACAGUGUCAUCAGCAGAAUUAGUAGUCUCCGGAGAGGCUACCACAUGUCAGCAAGCUUCACCUGGCCAGAGUCCACCCGUGAUGUAGCUCCCCAAUCAGUCACUACUGUCUAGACCUUCCAGAUAGACUAGCAGAUCUUCUCUGCCCAUGGGCAACCAGUAGAGCCAGAGGCCUUCCCCCUUUGCUCUUUCGUCUCUAGGCACUCUAUCAGGCACUCCAAGCUGUGAAGUGACUCAGGGAGAGAAGGAAGAGAUUUCAGAGAAUGAACACAUACAGAGAGAGAGGCAAGAGAUGCUGAGUGGGGAUGUCUUGCGUACUGAUAUCCUCAGGAAAGUGGGAAAAUUGGACCCUGGCCUGCUCUGCCAAUGCCGUGAAGCAGUCCACUCCAGGGGCUCCCUUGUGCCUGCAUAGCCUUUCCCAGGGUGUGCUCAAAUCCUGUGGCCACUAGGUGUCCUAGGUCACAAUGGAGGACCCUGUGUCAUCUGCCUGGCGGACUGGAUCUCUGCCAUUGGCUGAGUCUUGUCACCAGGCCCAUCAUAAGCUCUGCCCACUCUUCCGGUGGGGGGACUCUCUCCAUGGUGAUGGCAAAGAAACCUUAGUCCUGCCCACCUGGCCUUCACUUCACGUACCUGGCCUGCUGACCCUCACUCAGACCUCUGUGUUGAUCAAAAUGAAUGUCCGCCAGUGGCCCGGUGUCAGCGUCUGGUAUAAAGGAUUCGGGACUGUGCCUGAGGCAGAAGGCAGCCUAGGUCUGCGGGUACCUGGAAGUCUAGUGACUUGUGACGCUGCUGCCAGUGACAAAUGGUGACUCCCACACUCACAUAUCCCCUGGUGGCAGAAGGAUAGUGAUGGGUGGAGAAACAUGGCUCCGGAGCACACGUUCAGUGGGGCACCGGCGAAAUGCCAGGGCCAGUAGUGGACGUCGUGGAGCUGUAUGGCGAGCCAGCGAAGGGCCUAAGGAUUUCUCCGAUGAGGCAAAAUGCAGAUCAAGCCAAGGAACACAAAGAUAAAGCAGCUGAAGAAAUUAAAAAGGUUACUCAAGAACAUAAUUAAAAAUUUAAUAAGCUGUAAGAAACCAUAGAGAGACUGCAAUCAGAGAUUGAGAAGAUUAACAAUAAAAUUACAGUUAGAAAACUCAAUAGAAAGUAAGAAGAGCACAAUUGAGGAAUUGGAAGGCAGAAUUACUGAGAUUGAAGAUCAAACUCUUGGGACUAAUAUAUUUGAUGAGAAAGCAGAUAAAAGAAUUUUAAAUGAAGAAAUCCAAAGAAUCAUGUGGGACUUUAUCAAGAGAAAUAACUAUGAGUGAUUUCAGUACCAGAACAGGGAGGGCUAACAGAAAAUACAGAGGGAACUGUUGAAGAUUUGUUGGCAGAAAACUUCCAUGAUAUCAUGAAAGAUGCUCAUCGAAUUCCACAUAAGGUAGAUCUCAAAAGAAAGUGACCGAGACACAUAAUAAUCAAACUUGCCAAAAUCAAAUAUAAAGAGAAUUUUAAGAGAGGCUAGGGAUAAAGGAAGUCACCAACAAAGGAGAGUAAAUAAUAAAAAACUUGGACUACUCAGCAGAAAUCAUGCAGGCAAGAAGGCAAAGGGAUGACUUACACAAAAUAUUGAAGGAAAAAAAUUGCCAGCCAGGAAUCAAACCAUAACCCUGGCCCUCUGGCCCUCUGGCCCUCUGGCCCUCUGGCCUUAGCCCUCUAACUCUAGCCCCUAAGCCCUGAGCCCCAAAGCCCCUAAGACCCUAAGCCCUUAGGUCCUAACCCCCAAGGCCCUAAACUCUAACCCUAACCCAAACCCUAACGCCUAUACCCUAAACUCUACAACCUAAACACCUACACCCCAAAACACUACACAUCAAAACCCUACACACUAAACCCUAUACUCUAAGCCUCAAACCCUAAACCCAAACCUCAAACCCCAAACCCUAAACCUAACCGUAAACCCUAAUACCUAACCCUAACCCCUAACCACCCUAACCCUAAUGACCCUAACUCUAACCCUCGAACCCUAACCCUCUAACGCUAACAUGAAACCCUAAUCCGAAACCUGAACCCUCUAACUCUAACCUCUAGCCCUAACCCUCUAACCCUAGCCCUAAUCCUAACCCUAACCUCCAAACCCAACCCCAAACCCUAAACCUCAAAUCCCUAGCCCUAAACCUAAGAAUGAGCCUAAGCCUAACCCUAUCACUUAACUCUAAACCCUAAACCAUAACACUUAAAACCCUAACACGCAAAACCCUAACACCCUUAGCCCUAACACAUUUAACCCUAACACCCUAAACGCCAAAACCCUAAACACUAACACCCUUAACCCCAACCCCUAACCCCUAAACCCUAAACUUAAACACUAAACCGUCAAACCCUCUAACCCUAAUACCCUAAACCCUAACCCCAGCCCCCAGCCUUAAAGCUCACUCUAAGCCUUAAACCUUAAGCCCUAAACCCUAGGCUCUAAGCCCUAAGCCCUAAACUCUAAAUCCUAAAACCCUAAACUCUAAGCCCUAAGCCUAACCCUCUAAUCCUAAACCCCAAAACCUUACCCCAAACCCCUAAACCUUAAGCCCUAGCCCUAACCCCUAACCCUAAUCCUCUAAGCCUAACCCUCUAACCCUAACUCUCUAACCCUAACCACAACACCAACCCCAACCUCUGAACCCUGAAACCCUAACCCCCUAACCCCAAGCUUCUGAACCCUAAGCCUAAACCCUCUAACCCUAAACCCUAACCUUCACCCCCUCACACCCUCACCUUCUCACUCCCUCACUCUAUAAUCUUCUCACCUCUAACCCCCUCACCCUCUAACCCCUGACCCUCUAACUCCCUCAAUCUCUAACCCCCAACCCUCUAGACCCCAACCCUCUAACACCCACCCUCUAACCCCAAACCACAUAUCCCAAACAAACCCAACACCAACCCCAACCCUAAACCUAACCUCUAACCCCUAAAACCUAACCCAAACCCUAACGACUAAACCCCAAAACCCUAAACCCCAAACUGCAACCCCUAACACCUAACCUGUAACUCCAAACUCUAACUUCAAACCCUAAACCUAACCCUAACACCUAACCCCAACCAAAAAAUCCUAACCCUAAACUCUAACCCCAAACCCUAACAACCCUAACCCUAACAUCCCUAACCCCAAACCCUAACCGUUUUUGUUAGCAGCCGUAGCACAUAACCACUAGCCACCAGGGUUUCCACGAGCAGUCACAGGAAUAGACAUAUGCACACCCGUGUUCACUGCAACAUUAUUCACAGUAGCAAAAAGAUGGGAACAACCUAAGUGCUCGUCCACAGAGGAAUGGAUAAACAAACUACGGUACAUACACACAGUGGAACACUACACGACAAUAAAGACCAAUGAUGAAUCUCCGAAACAUCUCACACCAUGGAUGAAUCUGGGGCGCAUCACACUGACUAAGUCAAUCACAAAAUGACAUAUACAGUGAGAGACCACUAUCAUAAAAACUCAUGAAAACAUUUACGCACAGAAACAAUCCUUGAUGUUCACCAGGGAGACGAAGAGUGGGUAGAGAAAAGCCAACUAAACAAUAACCAAAAAAACCAAACCCACUGCUGUCGAGUCAAUUCCAGCUCAUAGCGAUCCUACAGGACAGAUUAGAACUGCCCCAUAGAGUUUCCAAGGAGUGCCUGGUGGAUUCGAACUGCAGACCUUUGGUUAGCACCGAUGGCUCUUAACCGCUACGCCACCAGGGUUUCCAACCAAACAACAGAUCGGUGGUAACUCUGGCGAAGGAAAGACGGUACACAAGACUGGGGAAUCAACCUCAGCCUCACUCUAACCCUAACCCUAAACCACUUGUGCCCGAGCCUAGUAACCCCAGCCCUAACCCCAACCCCCAACCACCUAAAACCUAUACCCCUAAACCUAACUCCCAAACCUCUAACCCCCAAACCCUAACCCCUAACCCUAAUCCUCUAACCCUUCUGCAUCUCUGGGCCUCUCGACUCUCCGUCUAUUUUCUCCCUCGAAAUCGUACUAACACUCAGUGGAAUUUUGAA
Long non-coding RNA from Loxodonta africana (African savanna elephant), 18210 nucleotides. RefSeq lists it as uncharacterized. Lineage: Eukaryota; Metazoa; Chordata; Mammalia; Proboscidea; Elephantidae. The record is from RefSeq and is a predicted model, not a curated record. The transcript is spliced from 4 exons.